UCCAACCACAGUCGACUGUUCU
This 22-nucleotide microRNA is filed under the name Dinoponera quadriceps. Its description in RNAcentral is "dqu-miR-11657-5p". The record is from miRBase by way of RNAcentral. Lineage: Eukaryota; Metazoa; Arthropoda; Insecta; Hymenoptera; Formicidae.